UCCCUGGUGGCUCAGACAGUAAAGAAUCUGCCUGCAAUGCAGAAGACCUGGGUUCAUUCCCUGGCUUGGGAA
Molecule: transfer RNA, 72 nt
Filed under: Ovis aries (sheep)
Lineage: Eukaryota; Metazoa; Chordata; Mammalia; Artiodactyla; Bovidae
Rfam family: tRNA
About the family: Transfer RNA (tRNA) molecules are approximately 80 nucleotides in length. Their secondary structure includes four short double-helical elements and three loops (D, anti-codon, and T loops).
Source: Rfam by way of RNAcentral